UGUUCAACGGCCGCGGUACCCUGACCGUGCAAAGGUAGCAUAAUACUUGCCUUAUAAUUGAAGGCUGGAAUGAAUGGUUUGACAAGAAUGUAGCUGUCUCAUUAUAAUUUAAUAGAAUUUUAUUUUAGGAUGAAAAAGUCCUAGUUGAAUUAAAAGACAAGAAGACCCUAUCGAGCUUGAAGUUAAUUGAUAAAAAAUUAAUACUUAUAAGAAUUGUUAUCAAAAAUUUUGGUUGGGGCAACUAAGGAGCAAAAAAAGCCUCUUUUUAAAUAUUAUACACACUAGUAAGGAUCCAAUAAUUUUGAUCAAAGAAAAUAGUUACCGUAGGGAUAACAGCAUUAUCUUUUUUGAGAGCCCUUAUCGAAAAAAAGGUUUGUGACCUCGAUGUUGGACCAGAAUAUCCUAAAGAUGCAGAAGUCUUUAAGGGUUGGUCUGGUCGACCAUU
Molecule: ribosomal RNA, 445 nt
Filed under: Conasprella baileyi
Lineage: Eukaryota; Metazoa; Mollusca; Gastropoda; Neogastropoda; Conidae
Description: partial 16S ribosomal RNA
Rfam family: Bacterial large subunit ribosomal RNA
Source: RNAcentral